AUACGUAGGGGGCAAGCGUUGUCCGGAAUUACUGGGCGUAAAGAGCUCGUAGGCGGCUCAGCAAGUCGGUCGUGAAAGCCCGAGGCUCAACCUCGGAACUGCGGUCGAUACUGCUGUGGCUAGAGUCCGGUAGAGGAGAGUGGAAUUCCCGGUGUAGCGGUGGAAUGCGCAGAGAUCGGGAGGAACACCAGUGGCGAAGGCGGCUCUCUGGGCCGGUACUGACGCUGAGGAGCGAAAGCGUGGGGAGCAAACAGGAUUAGAAACCCUAGUAGUCC
Molecule: ribosomal RNA, 275 nt
Filed under: uncultured bacterium
Lineage: Bacteria
Description: partial 16S ribosomal RNA
Rfam family: Bacterial small subunit ribosomal RNA
Source: RNAcentral